AGAUCCUCCCAAUAUUGAAUGGUACCACUCGAGUCCAUCUGCAUAGACCAUUUACUAAGAACAUGAACAUGAAACAGCAACAAAACUUGGGAGGGAGAGGAGGUGGUCGCAUGUACAUGAGGACUGCACCAGAGAGGAUAUCGGAGAAGGUGACGGAGAGCAUAAAGGGUGCAGAGGAGGCGUGUGCAGGUGACCCAACAAGCGGGGAGUGUGCAGCGGCGUGAGAUGAGGUGGAAGAGGUGAGUGCAGUAGCCAGCCUUGCUAGACAAAAGGAGGAGACCGACCCACUGGAGGCCUACCGCAAGGACAACUCUGCUACUGAUGAAUGCCGCACCUAUGAGGAUUGAGGCCCUCCAGGCCUUAUCUCUUCUUCUUCCUGUUAUUAAUUCAUAAUCUACUCUAUUGCCAGAUGGUUUUGGAACAUCUGGAUUUCUAUUAUAUACAUCUGGUGUUGUAAACUCCCAUUUCUUAUCUCUUUAAUUUAACUACCUGCUGAAGUA
Molecule: long non-coding RNA, 500 nt
Organism: Macadamia integrifolia
Lineage: Eukaryota; Viridiplantae; Streptophyta; Magnoliopsida; Proteales; Proteaceae
Exons: 2
Source: RefSeq, a predicted model, not a curated record